CCCUUAGAUGUUCUGGGCCGCACGCGCGCUACACUGAUGAAUUCAACGAGCUCCUAACCUGGGCCGAAGGGUCCGGGUAAUCUUUGAAAUUUCAUCGUGAUGGGGAUAGAUUAUUGCAAUUAUUAAUCUUCAACGAGGAAUUCCUAGUAAGCGCGAGUCAUCAGCUCGCGUUGAUUACGUCCCUGCCCUUUGUACACACCGCCCGUCGCUCCUACCGAUUGAAUGGUCCGGUGAAAUGUUCGGACCGCGACAAGGCGGACGGUUCGCUGUCAGCUUUGCUGCGGGAAGUUCAUUAAACCUUAUCAUUUAGAGGAAGGAGAAGUCGUAACA
This 330-nucleotide ribosomal RNA is filed under the name uncultured eukaryote. RNAcentral's name for it is "partial 18S ribosomal RNA". It matches the Rfam family "Eukaryotic small subunit ribosomal RNA", at positions 1470 to 1796 of the family's 1831-position model. The record is from RNAcentral.